AACGAACGCUGGCGGCAGGCUUAACACAUGCAAGUCGAGCGCCCCGCAAGGGGAGCGGCAGACGGGUGAGUAACACGUGGGAAUCUACCCAUCCCUACGGAACAACUCCGGGAAACUGGAGCUAAUACCGUAUACGCCCUUCGGGGGAAAGAUUUAUCGGGGAUGGAUGAGCCCGCGUUGGAUUAGCUAGUUGGUGGGGUAAAGGCCUACCAAGGCGACGAUCCAUAGCUGGUCUGAGAGGAUGAUCAGCCACAUUGGGACUGAGACACGGCCCAAACUCCUACGGGAGGCAGCAGUGGGGAAUAUUGGACAAUGGGCGCAAGCCUGAUCCAGCCAUGCCGCGUGAGUGAUGAAGGCCUUAGGGUUGUAAAGCUCUUUCACCGAUGAAGAUAAUGACGGUAGUCGGAGAAGAAGCCCCGGCUAACUUCGUGCCAGCCGCCGCCGUAA
RNAcentral lists this ribosomal RNA (447 nucleotides) under uncultured bacterium. RNAcentral describes it as "partial 16S ribosomal RNA". It matches the Rfam family "Bacterial small subunit ribosomal RNA", at positions 29 to 523 of the family's 1533-position model. The record is from RNAcentral.